UUUCUCAUGCAUCUCAUGCAUAGGUCACUGAACACAACAAAUCUCUUUACAGGUUCUCAUGUAAAGCUGAGGCAGGCACCAUAUCAGUUAAUUGAUACAUACUGUAUUUCUGAAAAUGAUACAUAAUGAAUAAUGGUUCUUAACAUUUGUCCAGUGUGUAUAUUCUAGGUUGUGAGAAUUGUUUCCAGAAGUGCUCAUCCAUGACAAUACAGUAAAAUAAGAAAUAGCAAAGAGGAAAUGUUCCCGGCUGUUUGGUGCUCCUCUGGUUCACUCCCUCCCUUCACUGCUCAGCUGUGCAGCCAGGAGCUUCAGGAGACUAGAAGAGCAGCAGUGCAUCGUGAUCAAGAGCCCCGGGCGCAGCACUGGCUGUCCUCGCACAAGCAUCUCAGGGGUCCAGUCCAUGUUCGCCCCCAGCAGAGCUCUCCCUUGGGAGAUGUGGAUGACCUGCAGCUUCCUUAGUCUAACCAGAGCAGCUGCUGAGAGAGCCUCCUACAGUCAGGUGACCCAUGUACUGCUUGAACUGCUGCACGCCGUCUUCCACAGCCUGCUUGAAG
Molecule: long non-coding RNA, 554 nt
Organism: Lepisosteus oculatus (spotted gar)
Lineage: Eukaryota; Metazoa; Chordata; Actinopteri; Semionotiformes; Lepisosteidae
Source: RefSeq, a predicted model, not a curated record